CCGACGGUGAGGGGCGAAAGCUGGGGGCACGAACCGGAUUAGAUACCCGGGUAGUCCCAGCCGUAAACGAUGCUCGCUAGGUGUCUGGGAUGGUGCGACCGUUUCAGGUGCCGCAGGGAAGCCGUGAAGCGAGCCACCUGGGAAGUACGGCCGCAAGGCUGAAACUUAAAGGAAUUGGCGGGGGAGCACUACAACGGGUGGAGCCUGCGGUUUAAUUGGACUCAACGCCGGAAUGCUCACCUGGGGC
RNAcentral lists this ribosomal RNA (247 nucleotides) under uncultured archaeon. Its description in RNAcentral is "partial 16S ribosomal RNA". It matches the Rfam family "Archaeal small subunit ribosomal RNA", at positions 691 to 937 of the family's 1478-position model. The record is from RNAcentral.